AUUUCGAUUUGGCGGUUGAUCUCUCUAGCAAUGCAAAAAUCGUGCGGGCAGCGACCCCACUAAAAUCCUUUCAGGGUCUAUUAACCUUUUGCUCGUAUCCCUCCCAUCCAUAAACUUCUGAGCGGGUAGCAAACAGGCUGAUUAUGACUGUUAGCUAGAAUGAGAAAAAAAAUAGCGAGAGAUGUAAUUGUCGAGAGGACGAUUCAAUAACUCGGCUUAUCACGAAAAUUCAACUUCGUUGUUUUCUUGAUAUCCGGUGCCGAAGAUCGUGAAAAUGGGUUAAUCUGAGGAUUUGAAAGUCUUUUCUCGAUCACUUUGAACUGAUUAGUGGAAGAGGCAGCAGUGAUUCCGAAGUUGUCCUCGCGCCGUGGUUUGAAUAUUGAGAUCGUAGAUAGCCGUAAAGUAUAUUUCGUGCAGUGAGAAGGCGUGCAAACACUGCCGAACAAGAAAGGUUCGUGGCCUAAGCUGCAUGUGCCCGAUCACACCACAUCGGACAACGUCAUCGCUGACCCCACCAUCAGCUUCAGAGGUGUCCUGGGUACGCCCGGAAGAGGGUAUCGUACGCCAAAAGCGUGCCCUAGGCAGGGCGAGAACGAGCGACCGUUCACCGAGUUCAUUCGCUGCGAUUUUCCGCCUAGUUCCGUCGAGGAAAGGCACCCGGCGGGUUCACCUCACCACCCCCCGUUCAUCUCCUGUUCAUCCGUCAUCAGUCGCCGGGCGGCAGCAUAAAAAGGUCGUGAGUACUCAUUCGUGAAUGUAGUGUUGUCCUUGCGCAAGUGACUUUGAGAGCCCGCUACCGAAGGUUGUACCGGUCAGCGUGGCAUGAACGAAAUAGCAUGAACCGUCGCACGAAACCGAGAGAUAGGAAAGCACACGAUAUAGAAACAUAACCCCAAACACGCACGUUGACU
Long non-coding RNA from Armigeres subalbatus, 911 nucleotides. RefSeq lists it as uncharacterized. The record is from RefSeq and is a predicted model, not a curated record. The transcript has 3 exons. NCBI's taxonomy places the organism in Eukaryota, Metazoa, Arthropoda, Insecta, Diptera, Culicidae.